GUUGGUAUCGAUUAGUGGUUAAAUCACUUCGUUGUGGCCGACGUGUAGCAAGUCCGAAGAGCCGCAGGUUCAAUUCCUGCUACUGACA
Pleurotus ostreatus PC15 is the source of this 88-nucleotide transfer RNA. It matches the Rfam family "tRNA". Rfam says of the family: Transfer RNA (tRNA) molecules are approximately 80 nucleotides in length. Their secondary structure includes four short double-helical elements and three loops (D, anti-codon, and T loops). NCBI's taxonomy places the organism in Eukaryota, Fungi, Basidiomycota, Agaricomycetes, Agaricales, Pleurotaceae. The record is from Rfam.